UACGUAGGGUGCGAGCGUUAAUCGGAAUUACUGGGCGUAAAGCGUGCGCAGGCGGUUCGUUGUGUCUGAUGUGAAAGCCCCGGGCUUAACCUGGGAAUGGCAUUGGAAACUGGCGAGCUGGAGUGUGGCAGAGGGGGGUGGAAUUCCGCGUGUAGCAGUGAAAUGCGUAGAGAUGCGGAGGAACACCGAUGGCGAAGGCAGCCCCCUGGGCCAACACUGACGCUGAGGAGCGAAAGCGUGGGGAGCAAACAGG
Molecule: ribosomal RNA, 253 nt
Filed under: uncultured bacterium
Lineage: Bacteria
Description: partial 16S ribosomal RNA
Rfam family: Bacterial small subunit ribosomal RNA
Source: RNAcentral